This 73-nucleotide transfer RNA is filed under the name Stegodyphus mimosarum. It matches the Rfam family "tRNA". Rfam says of the family: Transfer RNA (tRNA) molecules are approximately 80 nucleotides in length. Their secondary structure includes four short double-helical elements and three loops (D, anti-codon, and T loops). The record is from Rfam by way of RNAcentral. Lineage: Eukaryota; Metazoa; Arthropoda; Arachnida; Araneae; Eresidae.
GCCUUCGUGGUGUAGUGGUCAGUACGCUCGACGUGUAACCGAGAGGUCCGUGGUUCGAUUCCUGGCGAAGGCG